AAUCUUCUCAAGGUAU
Molecule: transfer RNA, 16 nt
Filed under: Ambystoma bishopi (reticulated salamander)
Lineage: Eukaryota; Metazoa; Chordata; Amphibia; Caudata; Ambystomatidae
Description: partial tRNA-Thr
Source: RNAcentral